This 1605-nucleotide ribosomal RNA is filed under the name metagenome. Its description in RNAcentral is "bacterial LSU rRNA". It matches the Rfam family "Bacterial large subunit ribosomal RNA", at positions 1294 to 2925 of the family's 2925-position model. The record is from RNAcentral.
AUGCCGGAAUGAGUAGCGAGAGAGAGGUGAGAAUCCUCUCGGCCGAAUAUCCAAGGUUUCCAGAGUAAAGCUGAUCUGCUCUGGGUAAGUCGGGACCUAAGGAGAGGUCGAAAGACGUAUCCGAUGGACAACAGGUUUAGAUUCCUGUGCCACAUAUGAACAGAACUGUGGGGACGCAUGUGGAGAGCACGAGCCGGGAAUGGAAAUACCGGUACAAGCGGAGAAGGAGUCUGGUUGGCAAAUCCGCCAGGCAAUCCGAAGACGUGAUGUGGAGCGAAUUAGAGUAGCGAAGCGUGUGAGCCAUGUGCCGAGAAAAGCCGCUAUUGUUUCAUGUGUGCCCGUACCGUAAACCGACACAGGUGGAUGAGGAGAGAAUCCUAAGGCCGGCGGAAGAAGCAUUGUUAAGGAACUCGGCAAAAUGACCCCGUAACUUCGGGAGAAGGGGUGCCUGCUAACGCAGGCCGCAGAGAAUAGGCUCAAGCAACUGUUUAGCAAAAACACAGGUCUAUGCGAAACCGAAAGGUGAAGUAUAUGGGCUGACGCCUGCCCGGUGCUGGAAGGUUAAGAGGAGAGGUUAGCGCAAGCGAAGCUUUGAAUUUAAGCCCCAGUAAACGGCGGCCGUAACAAUAACGGUCCUAAGGUAGCGAAAUUCCUUGUCGGGUAAGUUCCGACCCGCACGAAAGGCGUAAUGAUUUGAGCACUGUCUCGACAAUGCAUCCGGUGAAAUUGAAGUACCAGUGAAGAUGCUGGUUACCCGCGCCAGGACGGAAAGACCCCAUGGAGCUUUACUCCAGUUUGGUACUGGGAUUCGGUACUGCAUGUACAGGAUAGGUGGGAGACUAAGAACUUGGGACGCCAGUUUCAAGGGAGUCGCUGUUGGGAUACCACCCUUGCAGUAUUGGAUUUCUAACCAGCCGCCGUGAUCCGGCGGUGGGACAAUGCCAGGCGGGGAGUUUGACUGGGGCGGUCGCCUCCGAAAGGGUAUCGGAGGCGCUCAAAGGUUCCCUCAGAAUGGUUGGAAACCAUUUGAAGAGUGCAAAGGCAGAAGGGAGCUUGACUGCGACACCGACGGGUGGAGCAGGUAGGAAACUAGGACUUAGUGAUCCGGUGGCAUAAAGUGGGAUUGCCAUCGCUCAACGGAUAAAAGCUACCCUGGGAUAACAGGCUUAUCACUCCCAAGAGUUCACAUCGACGGAGUGGUUUGGCACCUCGAUGUCGGCUCAUCGCAUCCUGGGGCUGUAGCAGGUCCCAAGGGUUUGGCUGUUCGCCCAUUAAAGCGGUACGCGAGCUGGGUUCAGAACGUCGUGAGACAGUUCGGUCCCUACCCGGCGCGGGCGGAGGAUAUUUGAGAGGAGCUGUCCUUAGUACGAGAGGACCGGGAUGGACGGACCACUGGUGUAUCUGCUGUCGACCAACGGCAUGGCAGAGUAGCCAAGUCCGGAAGGGAUAAACGCUGAAGGCAUCUAAGCGUGAAGCCCCCCUCAAGAUGAGAUAUCCCUCACAUAAGUGAGUAAGAUCCCUUGAAGACUACAAAGUAGAUAGGGCAGAGGUGGAAGCACGGUAACGUGUGGAGCUGACUGUUACUAAUCGAUCGAGGGCUUGACU